CCUACGGGAGGCUGCAGUAGGGAAUAUUGGGCAAUGGACGAAAGUCUGACCCAGCCAUGCCGCGUGAAGGAAGAAGGUCCACAGGAUUGUAAACUUCUUUUUUCGGAGAAUAAAAGCUGGCAACGGCCAGCCCUGAAGGUACCCGAAGAAUAAGCACCGGCUAACUACGUGCCAGCAGCCGCGGUAAUACGUAGGGUGCAAGCGUUGUCCGGAUUUACUGGGUUUAAAGGGUGCGUAGGCGGCUCCGUCAGUCGGUGAUGAAAUGCUCAGGCUCA
This 275-nucleotide ribosomal RNA is filed under the name uncultured bacterium. RNAcentral describes it as "partial 16S ribosomal RNA". It matches the Rfam family "Bacterial small subunit ribosomal RNA", at positions 338 to 611 of the family's 1533-position model. The record is from RNAcentral.